UCAGUAGGAUUAUGUGAUCAAGCCCCAAUAUCAGAUUCUUUUAACAUCUCAUUUUGCAGUGUGAAAUCACAAGCAAGAAUUACCAGAGAGAGGUCCUAAAAAAUACAGGGAAAGAAGAGAACCUCCAGAGACAAAAAGCCAAUGAUGGGAGCACAUGAAUGUGCAAAAAACUUCCAAAAAUGCCGUAGAGAAAGCUCGCAGCUGGGUCGCUUGUGAAGGAGGUCCAUGGAAUCAUGCUGCUAGCGAGUAGCUCAGAGCUGAUGAAGAGCUCCUGUCAGAAGACAGAGCUGAACUGUGUGAACUGGGUCACGGGAGAGGAACUGUUUCUUGGAGCACUUAGGGUCCAAGCUAUCACAGGGGGCUAAGGAAAUGGAGCUUGAGAAGCCACCACAGGACCUACUUAUCACAGUGCAAGAAAGUCAGUCCAGAAGUGUCUGCUGCUUACUGAACUUGGAUCAGCUGGUAACAAGACAAAGUCUCAGCCAUGCCUAGCUGUGCACGGUUGCCUCUUCACUGCUUUUCCCAACCAGCUUGGAUGAUGUUUUGAGAUUUUAAUAAAAAAAAUACAAUGUGGGUAGUGUGCCGAAAAAAAA
This 593-nucleotide long non-coding RNA is filed under the name Cavia porcellus (domestic guinea pig). Its description in RNAcentral is "lncRNA (ENSCPOG00000038908.1)". Lineage: Eukaryota; Metazoa; Chordata; Mammalia; Rodentia; Caviidae. The record is from RNAcentral.